Long non-coding RNA from Lates calcarifer (barramundi perch), 271 nucleotides. RefSeq lists it as uncharacterized. The record is from RefSeq and is a predicted model, not a curated record. The transcript is spliced from 3 exons. NCBI's taxonomy places the organism in Eukaryota, Metazoa, Chordata, Actinopteri, Centropomidae.
GGGAAAAUUAAAUGAGGAAUGGAGAGGAGAGGAGGUGGGAGGGCAACAUGUCAUGUAAACCCCGUCAUAUAAAAGAGAGGAGAGGAGAGAGAAGAGAGGAGAGGAGGGGAGGUGGAGGACAUUAUGAAGAGUGAACACUCAUAUAAAGUGAAGAAAACUCUGAACUGCCACUUCACUUAACUACAAGUGACCAAGUGAAGCACAUUCCUCCAAAGAUUUUUGUCAUGAUCAAACUGUUCAAAAACAAGAGUUUGAAAUACAAAGUGACAGA